UACGAAGGGGGCUAGCGUUGUUCGGAAUUACUGGGCGUAAAGCGUAUGCAGGCGGAUCAUUAAGUCGGGGGUGAAAUCCCGAGGCUCAACCUCGGAACUGCCUUCGAUACUGAUGAUCUUGAGUCCGGGAGAGGUGAGUGGAACUGCGAGUGUAGAGGUGAAAUUCGUAGAUAUCGAGAAGAACACCGGUGGCGAAGGCGGCCAUCUGGACGGUGACUGACGCUGAGACGCGAAAGCGUGGGGAGCAAACAGG
RNAcentral lists this ribosomal RNA (253 nucleotides) under uncultured bacterium. RNAcentral's name for it is "partial 16S ribosomal RNA". It matches the Rfam family "Bacterial small subunit ribosomal RNA", at positions 524 to 776 of the family's 1533-position model. The record is from RNAcentral.